RNAcentral lists this ribosomal RNA (2902 nucleotides) under Klebsiella pneumoniae. Its description in RNAcentral is "23S ribosomal RNA". It matches the Rfam family "Bacterial large subunit ribosomal RNA". Lineage: Bacteria; Pseudomonadati; Pseudomonadota; Gammaproteobacteria; Enterobacterales; Enterobacteriaceae. The record is from RNAcentral.
GGUUAAGCGACUAAGCGUACACGGUGGAUGCCCUGGCAGUCAGAGGCGAUGAAGGACGUGCUAAUCUGCGAAAAGCGUCGGUAAGGUGAUAUGAACCGUUAUAGCCGGCGAUGUCCGAAUGGGGAAACCCAGUGUGAUUCGUCACACUAUCGUUAACUGAAUACAUAGGUUAACGAGGCGAACCGGGGGAACUGAAACAUCUAAGUACCCCGAGGAAAAGAAAUCAACCGAGAUUCCCCCAGUAGCGGCGAGCGAACGGGGAGCAGCCCAGAGUCUGAAUCAGCUUGUGUGUUAGUGGAACGGUCUGGAAAGUCCGACGGUACAGGGUGAUAGUCCCGUACACCAAAAUGCACAGGCUGUGAACUCGAAGAGUAGGGCGGGACACGUGGUAUCCUGUCUGAAUAUGGGGGGACCAUCCUCCAAGGCUAAAUACUCCUGACUGACCGAUAGUGAACCAGUACCGUGAGGGAAAGGCGAAAAGAACCCCGGCGAGGGGAGUGAAAAAGAACCUGAAACCGUGUACGUACAAGCAGUGGGAGCACCUUCGGGUGUGACUGCGUACCUUUUGUAUAAUGGGUCAGCGACUUAUAUUCUGUAGCAAGGUUAACCGUAUAGGGGAGCCGCAGGGAAACCGAGUCUUAACUGGGCGUUAAGUUGCAGGGUAUAGACCCGAAACCCGGUGAUCUAGCCAUGGGCAGGUUGAAGGUUGGGUAACACUAACUGGAGGACCGAACCGACUAAUGUUGAAAAAUUAGCGGAUGACUUGUGGCUGGGGGUGAAAGGCCAAUCAAACCGGGAGAUAGCUGGUUCUCCCCGAAAGCUAUUUAGGUAGCGCCUCGUGAACUCAUCUUCGGGGGUAGAGCACUGUUUCGGCUAGGGGGUCAUCCCGACUUACCAACCCGAUGCAAACUACGAAUACCGAAGAAUGUUAUCACGGGAGACACACGGCGGGUGCUAACGUCCGUCGUGAAGAGGGAAACAACCCAGACCGCCAGCUAAGGUCCCAAAGUCAUGGUUAAGUGGGAAACGAUGUGGGAAGGCACAGACAGCCAGGAUGUUGGCUUAGAAGCAGCCAUCAUUUAAAGAAAGCGUAAUAGCUCACUGGUCGAGUCGGCCUGCGCGGAAGAUGUAACGGGGCUAAACCAUGCACCGAAGCUGCGGCAGCGACACUAUGUGUUGUUGGGUAGGGGAGCGUUCUGUAAGCCUGCGAAGGUGUGCUGUGAGGCAUGCUGGAGGUAUCAGAAGUGCGAAUGCUGACAUAAGUAACGAUAAAGCGGGUGAAAAGCCCGCUCGCCGGAAGACCAAGGGUUCCUGUCCAACGUUAAUCGGGGCAGGGUGAGUCGACCCCUAAGGCGAGGCCGAAAGGCGUAGUCGAUGGGAAACAGGUUAAUAUUCCUGUACUUGGUGUUACUGCGAAGGGGGGACGGAGAAGGCUAUGUUAGCCGGGCGACGGUUGUCCCGGUUUAAGCAUGUAGGCUGGUUGUCCAGGCAAAUCCGGAUAAUCAAGGCUGAGGUGUGAUGACGAGGCACUACGGUGCUGAAGUAACAAAUGCCCUGCUUCCAGGAAAAGCCUCUAAGCAUCAGGUAACAUUAAAUCGUACCCCAAACCGACACAGGUGGUCAGGUAGAGAAUACCAAGGCGCUUGAGAGAACUCGGGUGAAGGAACUAGGCAAAAUGGUGCCGUAACUUCGGGAGAAGGCACGCUGGUGUGUAGGUGAAGUCCCUGCGGAUGGAGCUGAGACCAGUCGAAGAUACCAGCUGGCUGCAACUGUUUAUUAAAAACACAGCACUGUGCAAACACGAAAGUGGACGUAUACGGUGUGACGCCUGCCCGGUGCCGGAAGGUUAAUUGAUGGGGUUAUCCGUAAGGAGAAGCUCUUGAUCGAAGCCCCGGUAAACGGCGGCCGUAACUAUAACGGUCCUAAGGUAGCGAAAUUCCUUGUCGGGUAAGUUCCGACCUGCACGAAUGGCGUAAUGAUGGCCAGGCUGUCUCCACCCGAGACUCAGUGAAAUUGAACUCGCUGUGAAGAUGCAGUGUACCCGCGGCAAGACGGAAAGACCCCGUGAACCUUUACUAUAGCUUGACACUGAACAUUGAGCCUUGAUGUGUAGGAUAGGUGGGAGGCUUUGAAGCGUGGACGCCAGUCUGCGUGGAGCCAACCUUGAAAUACCACCCUUUAAUGUUUGAUGUUCUAACGUUGGCCCCUUACCGGGGUUGCGGACAGUGUCUGGUGGGUAGUUUGACUGGGGCGGUCUCCUCCCAAAGCGUAACGGAGGAGCACGAAGGUUAGCUAAUCCUGGUCGGACAUCAGGAGGUUAGUGCAAUGGCAUAAGCUAGCUUGACUGCGAGCGUGACGGCGCGAGCAGGUGCGAAAGCAGGUCAUAGUGAUCCGGUGGUUCUGAAUGGAAGGGCCAUCGCUCAACGGAUAAAAGGUACUCCGGGGAUAACAGGCUGAUACCGCCCAAGAGUUCAUAUCGACGGCGGUGUUUGGCACCUCGAUGUCGGCUCAUCACAUCCUGGGGCUGAAGUAGGUCCCAAGGGUAUGGCUGUUCGCCAUUUAAAGUGGUACGCGAGCUGGGUUUAGAACGUCGUGAGACAGUUCGGUCCCUAUCUGCCGUGGGCGCUGGAGAAUUGAGGGGGGCUGCUCCUAGUACGAGAGGACCGGAGUGGACGCAUCACUGGUGUUCGGGUUGUCAUGCCAAUGGCACUGCCCGGUAGCUAAAUGCGGAAGAGAUAAGUGCUGAAAGCAUCUAAGCACGAAACUUGCCCCGAGAUGAGUUCUCCCUGAGACUUUAAGUCUCCUGAAGGAACGUUGAAGACGACGACGUUGAUAGGCCGGGUGUGUAAGCGCAGCGAUGCGUUGAGCUAACCGGUACUAAUGAACCGUGAGGCUUAACCUU